Molecule: ribosomal RNA, 253 nt
Filed under: uncultured bacterium
Lineage: Bacteria
Description: partial 16S ribosomal RNA
Rfam family: Bacterial small subunit ribosomal RNA
Source: RNAcentral
UACGUAGGACCCAAGCGUUGUCCGGAUUUACUGGGUGUAAAGGGUGCGCAGGCGGACUGGUAAGUCUGUGGUGAAAUCUCGCCGCUUAACGGCGAAACUGCCUUAGAUACUAUCAGUCUUGAAUAAGCGAGAGAUCCGUGGAAUUCCGAGUGUAGCAGUGAAAUGUGUAGAUAUUCGGAAGAACACCAGAGGCGAAGGCAGCGGGUUGGCGCUUUAUUGACGCUCAGGCACGAAAGCAUGGGGAUCAAACAGG